GGAUGUGAAGGUGAUCUGGCUGGGACUUCUGUCACCCCUCUGAUGGCCAGGGUUGAUUCCGCUGAUCUGGCUGACUAGG
This 79-nucleotide small nuclear RNA is filed under the name Fukomys damarensis (Damara mole-rat). RNAcentral's name for it is "7SK RNA". It matches the Rfam family "7SK RNA", at positions 1 to 79 of the family's 331-position model. From Rfam's summary of the family: 7SK was discovered as an abundant small nuclear RNA in the mid-70s but a possible function has only recently been suggested. Two independent studies have found that 7SK RNA binds the CDK9/cyclin T complex (known as elongation factor P-TEFb). The record is from Rfam by way of RNAcentral. Lineage: Eukaryota; Metazoa; Chordata; Mammalia; Rodentia; Bathyergidae.